CCUACGGGCGACAGCAGUGAGGAAUAUUGGUCAAUGGGCUUACGCCUGAACCAGCCAAGUCGCGUGAGGGAAGACUGCCCUAUGGGUUGUAAACCUCUUUUGUCAGGGAGCAAUUGGCGCUACGUGUAGCGUUAUCGAGAGUACCUGAAGAAAAAGCAUCGGCUAACUCCGUGCCAGCAGCCGCGGUAAUACGGAGGAUGCGAGCGUUAUCCGGAUUUAUUGGGUUUAAAGGGUGCGUAGGCGGAAUGCCAAGUCAGCGGUAAAAUCGCGGGGCUCAACCUCGCUCCGCCGUUGAAACUGGCGUGCUUGAGUGGGCGAGAAGUAUGCGGAAUUCGUGGUGUAGCGGUGAAAUGCAUAGAUAUCACGCAGAACUCCGAUUGCGAAGGCAGCAUACCGGCGCCCAACUGACGCUGAAGCACGAAAGCGUGGGUAUCGAACAGGAUUAGAUACCCGUGUAGUC
RNAcentral lists this ribosomal RNA (460 nucleotides) under uncultured bacterium. RNAcentral describes it as "partial 16S ribosomal RNA". It matches the Rfam family "Bacterial small subunit ribosomal RNA", at positions 338 to 795 of the family's 1533-position model. The record is from RNAcentral.